GAUGAACGCUGGCGGCGUGCCUAAUACAUGCAAGUCGAGCGAACAGACGAGGAGCUUGCUCCUCUGACGUUAGCGGCGGACGGGUGAGUAACACGUGGAUAACCUACCUAUAAGACUGGGAUAACUUCGGGAAACCGGAGCUAAUACCGGAUAAUAUAUUGAACCGCAUGGUUCAAUAGUGAAAGACGGUUUUGCUGUCACUUAUAGAUGGAUCCGCGCCGCAUUAGCUAGUUGGUAAGGUAACGGCUUACCAAGGCAACGAUGCGUAGCCGACCUGAGAGGGUGAUCGGCCACACUGGAACUGAGACACGGUCCAGCCUCCUACGGGAGGCAGCAGUAGGGAAUCUUCCGCAAUGGGCGAAAGCCUGACGGAGCAACGCCGCGUGAGUGAUGCAGGUCUUCGGAUCGUAAAACUCUGUUAUUAGGGAAGAACAAAUGUGUAAGUAACUAUGCACGUCUUGACGGUACCUAAUCAGAAAGCCACGGCUAACUACGUG
RNAcentral lists this ribosomal RNA (497 nucleotides) under uncultured bacterium. RNAcentral describes it as "partial 16S ribosomal RNA". It matches the Rfam family "Bacterial small subunit ribosomal RNA", at positions 28 to 507 of the family's 1533-position model. The record is from RNAcentral.